CGCAAGCAACCAAGUAUGAGUCCACCUCACGCAGCGCUCCUCUUGCUCUUCAUCCUAGCGUACUUCCGCGGUGCCUACUCCAGUGGCAGCCGGAGCCGUUUCACAUCCAUAAUCAGCUUCGGUGACUCCUUCGCCGACACCGGUAAUUUGGUCAUGUGGGCUGAUCCCGUCCUUCCGGGUCUAGUACUCAAGAACCUCCCCUACAGCGAGACCUUCUUCGGCCACCCCACCGGACGUGCCACCGACGGCCGCCUUGUGCUGGACUUCAUCGCCGAAGCUCUGGGUCUGCCUUUCGUGCCGCCGUGCUCACAAAGGGGGGCAUCUUCCCACUUGGCUGCGUACCCACAGUACUCACAAAGCUUGCUAGCCCAAACAAGGUGGAUUACUAUCGGAACGGAUGCCUGAAGAGUGCGAACAGGCUGGGGCGCUACCACAACUCUCUCCUCCGCCAGCGGAUCAAACUGCUCCGGCACAAGUACCCCCAUGCGAAGAUCAUUGCCGCUGAGUACUACCGACCCGUCCUUGCAUGUCUAGAUAUGCAGGGGCAUUUUGGACUGAACAGCAACACAACCCUCCUCACCUGUUGUGGUGCCGGAGGACCUCCUUAUAACUACGACUUCAACUCGGAGUGCGGGUGGCCAGGUGUGAUGGCGUGUGCAGAUCCAUCUCAGGCCCUUCAAUGGGAUGGUUUCCACCUCACGGAGUCUGCCUACAGGGCCGGUGCUGAUUGGUGCACUAGUAGAAAAAGGGCCUUUAGUCCCGGUUUAUAAGGGCCUUUAGUUCCGGUU
This is a long non-coding RNA of Triticum urartu, 788 nucleotides long. RefSeq lists it as uncharacterized. The record is from RefSeq and is a predicted model, not a curated record. NCBI's taxonomy places the organism in Eukaryota, Viridiplantae, Streptophyta, Magnoliopsida, Poales, Poaceae.